GAUUAUGGCUCAGGAUGAACGCUGGCGGCGUGCUUAACACAUGCAAGUCGAACGAGAAAGCACCUUCGGGUGUAAGUAGAGUGGCGAACGGGUGAGUAACACGUGAGCAACCUGCCUCUCACUUCGGAAUAACUCAGAGAAAUUUGUGCUAAUACCGAAUACUUCGUAUCUUUCGCAUGAUCGAUACGAGAAAGCCUUGUGCGGUGAGAGAUGGGCUCGCGGCCCAUUAGAUAGUUGGUGGGUAACGGCCUACCAAGUCGACGAUGGGUAGCCGGGUUGAGAGACCGACCGGCCACAUUGGGACUGAGACACGGCCCAGACUCCUACGGGAGGCAGCAGUGGGGAAUUUUGCGCAAUGGGGGGAAAAACCCCCUGACGCAGCAACGCCGCGUGCGGGAUGAAGGCCUUCGGGUUGUAAACCGCUUUCAGUAGGGAAGAAAAUGACGGUACCUACAGAAGAAGCUCCGGCUAACUACGUGCCAGCCGCGGC
This 490-nucleotide ribosomal RNA is filed under the name uncultured bacterium. RNAcentral describes it as "bacterial SSU rRNA". It matches the Rfam family "Bacterial small subunit ribosomal RNA", at positions 15 to 518 of the family's 1533-position model. The record is from RNAcentral.